RNAcentral lists this ribosomal RNA (254 nucleotides) under uncultured bacterium. Its description in RNAcentral is "partial 16S ribosomal RNA". It matches the Rfam family "Bacterial small subunit ribosomal RNA", at positions 524 to 775 of the family's 1533-position model. The record is from RNAcentral.
UACGGAGGGUGCGGAGCGUUGUCCGGAAUCAUUGGGCGUAAAGGGCGCGUAGGUGGCCCGGUCAGUCCGUGGUGAAAGCGCGGGGCUCAACCCUGCGUCGGCCAUGGAUACUGCCGCGGCUGGAGCACUGUAGAGGCAGGUGGAAUUCCGGGUGUAGCGGUGGAAUGCGUAGAGAUCCGGAAGAACACCGGUGGCGAAGGCGGCCUGCUGGGUUCUGGCUGACACUGAGGCGCGACAGCGUGGGGAGCAACAGG